This is a long non-coding RNA of Brassica napus (rape), 589 nucleotides long. RefSeq lists it as uncharacterized. Lineage: Eukaryota; Viridiplantae; Streptophyta; Magnoliopsida; Brassicales; Brassicaceae. The transcript has 3 exons. The record is from RefSeq and is a predicted model, not a curated record.
GCACACCGUCAAGCUCACCGUAACGUCUUCGGCUCCAAUUAAUAUGUACUAUCCUCCUAGCUUCCCCUGUAACGCAUAAGAGCCAGAUUUAUGGCUUCGUUACUCUCAGUUUAAAUCUCCGUUCCAAUUCUCCUUUUGAAGGCGGUUUUGUAUGUAAUCAGAUUGUGGAGAGGAAUGACGCAAAAGAUUAGCGUCAUGCUAAAUGGGGAUUUCUUCCGCCAUUGUUAAGGAGACUCAGGUACGUUGAAGGUGAAGAUCAAAGUGACAAGAAGCUAGAUGGUCAGCAUCGUGGAAGUUGGUCUCAAAGGCAUGCUUGAACAAAGGACCAAGAAGGAACAGAAGCGAUGAUAACAAGAGAAGGAAGCUGAGUCCUCUGGAAAGAAACAACACAAUAAGUAUUUAGAAGAACAAAGGGAGCUGAAGUUGCAAGACAUGUGGACAUGUCCGUUGCAUUAGUUUUUUAUUUUUUUCCCAAGCUUAACGAAUUCAUAGCACUUCAAGUCUUUCAUAGAUUAUGUUGUGUUGCUUUAAAUUUUCUAAAUUUGCACCGCUCAGACAUUUCAAGUUAAUAAAUUUGCACUUCCACCCA